Molecule: non-coding RNA, 47 nt
Organism: Vibrio furnissii NCTC 11218
Lineage: Bacteria; Pseudomonadati; Pseudomonadota; Gammaproteobacteria; Vibrionales; Vibrionaceae
Source: Rfam
CCCGAGUCAGCUCUGACAAUUGUUUGCGAUGAAACAUUGGACAGAGC